GGCAGUAGUGUAGUGUCCUUUAGAUGUGUUUUGGUGAUGAUGCAAGUAAAAAGUUCUAACUGAGUGUUAAUAUAUUGGAUGAAGCACAUCACUUUUGAAAUGAAACAUAUAUGUCAACAUGAACACUAGAAACAAUAAGAUCUCCAGCAGAACUACAAAUACAUAUAUAUAUAUAGCCUGAUUGUUUUUUUUUGUUGUUUU
This 201-nucleotide long non-coding RNA is filed under the name Capsella rubella. RNAcentral describes it as "long non-coding RNA (CRUB_LNC003545)". The record is from RNAcentral. Lineage: Eukaryota; Viridiplantae; Streptophyta; Magnoliopsida; Brassicales; Brassicaceae.